Non-coding RNA from Fimicolochytrium jonesii, 72 nucleotides. NCBI's taxonomy places the organism in Eukaryota, Fungi, Chytridiomycota, Chytridiomycetes, Spizellomycetales, Powellomycetaceae. The record is from the annotation of a RefSeq genome assembly.
UUCCAGUUAGUAUAUUGGCUAGUAUCUCCGCCUGUCACGCGGAAGAGCCGGGUUCGAUUCCCGGACUGGAAG